Molecule: non-coding RNA, 413 nt
Organism: Tachyglossus aculeatus (Australian echidna)
Lineage: Eukaryota; Metazoa; Chordata; Mammalia; Monotremata; Tachyglossidae
Source: the annotation of a RefSeq genome assembly
GGAGCAGAGCCUUUGUGUCCGUGUCCACCAUGGCUCACACUCCUGUCCUCCUCCUUCACGUUCUCCUUGCACUCCUCGCUCUCUGCACAGGUUUCGUGAGUUCUGUGCCGACUCAGCCGCCUUCGGCAUCCGUGGCCCUGGGACAAACAGCCACACUCACCUGCUCCGGUGUUACUGGUAGCUAUGCAUCCUGGUACCAGCAGAAGCCCGGCCAGGCCCCUGUGCUGGUUAUAUACGCUAAUAGCAAGCGACCCUCCGGGAUCCCCGACCGGUUCUCCGGCUCUAAGUCCGGGAGCACGGCCACGCUGACCAUCGCCAGGGCCCAGGCCGAGGACGAGGCCGAUUAUUACUGUCAGGAGUAUAGUAGUAGUGCUACUGCUCACAGUGACACAGGGUAAUGGGGAAGUGAGACA